This 495-nucleotide ribosomal RNA is filed under the name uncultured bacterium. RNAcentral describes it as "partial 16S ribosomal RNA". It matches the Rfam family "Bacterial small subunit ribosomal RNA", at positions 28 to 507 of the family's 1533-position model. The record is from RNAcentral.
GAUGAACGCUGGCGGCGUGCCUAAUACAUGCAAGUCGAGCGAACAGACGAGGAGCUUGCUCCUCUGACGUUAGCGGCGGACGGGUGAGUAACACGUGGAUAACCUACCUAAGACUGGGAUAACUUCGGGAAACCGGAGCUAAUACCGGAUAAUAUAUUGAACCGCAUGGUUCAAUAGUGAAAGACGGUUUUGCUGUCACUUAUAGAUGGAUCCGCGCCGCAUUAGCUAGUUGGUAAGGUAACGGCUUACCAAGGCAACGAUGCGUAGCCGACCUGAGAGGGUGAUCGGCCACACUGGAACUGAGACACGGUCCAGACUCCUACGGGAGGCAGCAGUAGGGAAUCUUCCGCAAUGGGCGAAAGCCUGACGGAGCAACGCCGCGUGAGUGAUGAAGGUCUUCGGAUCGUAAAACUCUGUUAUUAGGGAAGAACAAAUGUGUAAGUAACUAUGCACGUCUUGACGGUACCUAAUCAGAAAGCCACGGCUAACUACGUG